GGAGGGAUUGCUCAGUUGGUAGAGCAUGAGACUCUUAAUCUCAGGGUUGUGGGUUUGAGCCCCACAUUGGGUUAAAGAUUCCUGC
Podarcis lilfordi (Lilford's wall lizard) is the source of this 85-nucleotide non-coding RNA. The record is from the annotation of a GenBank genome assembly. Lineage: Eukaryota; Metazoa; Chordata; Lepidosauria; Squamata; Lacertidae.